CUGCCCGUCUGCACACCCGCGCCCAUGUGCCUGGCCUGUGUCCUGGGGCGGUAUCCUGCCUGACCAGCUUUCUCAUAUGGGAGUGGUGGGCAGUGGGAGGAACCUGGGUGGCCGGGGCCCAAGCUGGGCUGUCUCUUCCCACAGAGUGGCGUCCGGGCUCCACAGCGCAGAUCCUGUCGGACCUGGACCUGACGUCACAGCGGGAGGGCCGGUGGAAGCGCGUCAACACCCUUAUGCACUACAAUGUGAGCGUGUAGGCCGGGGCGGGCGAGAACUGGGCACCCUGGAGGCACAGCCCACCCUCACCGCCGUGUUCCCCAGGUCCGGGAUGGAGCCACCCUCAUCCUGUCCAAGGUGGGGGUCUCCCAGCAGCCGGAGGACAGCCAGCAGGACCUGCCUGGGGAGCGCCAUGCCCUCCUGGAGGAGGAGAACCGGGUGUGGCACCUGGUGCGGCCGACCGACGAGGUGGACGAGGGCAAGUCCAAGAGAGGCAGCGUGAAAGAGAAGGAGCGGACGAAGGCCAUCACCGAGAUCUACCUGACGCGGCUGCUCUCAGUCAAGGGCACACUGCAGCAGUUUGUGGACAACUUCUUCCAGAGCGUGCUGGCGCCUGGGCACGCGGUGCCACCUGCAGUCAAGUACUUCUUCGACUUCCUGGACGAGCAGGCAGAGAAGCACAACAUCCAGGAUGAAGACACCAUCCACAUCUGGAAGACGAACAGCUUACCGCUCCGGUUCUGGGUGAACAUCCUCAAGAACCCCCACUUCAUCUUUGACGUGCAUGUCCACGAGGUGGUGGACGCCUCGCUGUCGGUCAUCGCGCAGACCUUCAUGGACGCCUGCACGCGCACGGAGCAUAAGCUGAGCCGCGAUUCUCCCAGCAACAAGCUGCUGUACGCCAAGGAGAUCUCCACCUACAAGAAGAUGGUGGAGGAUUACUACAAGGGGAUCCGGCAGAUGGUGCAGGUCAGCGACCAGGACAUGAACACACACCUGGCAGAGAUUUCCCGGGCACACACGGACUCCUUGAACACCCUCGUGGCACUACACCAGCUCUACCAAUACACGCAGAAGUACUAUGACGAGAUCAUCAAUGCCUUGGAGGAGGACCCUGCCGCCCAGAAGAUGCAGCUGGCCUUCCGCCUGCAGCAGAUUGCGGCUGCGCUGGAGAACAAGGUCACUGACCUCUGACCUACAAUCUCCAGUGCUGCCUUGGGACAUAGGUACCUGAGGUACCUGAGAGCCCCUCGGGGGAGGAGGCCGAGUGGCUGUGGCUGAGGCCCCCACCCUCCCCUGGAACGCGCCCCAAGCCGGAGUGGGUGCAGCCGGAACCCGCCCAGCGUCUAGACUGUAGCAUCUUCCUCUGAGCAAUACCGCCGGGCACUGCACCAGCACCAGCCCCAGCCCCAGCUCCCUCCGGCCGCAGAACCAGCAUCGGGUGUUCACUGUCGAGUCUCGAGUGAUUUGAAAAUGUGCCUUACGCUGCCACGCUGGGGGCAGCUGGCCUCCGCCUCCGCCCACGCACCAGCAGCCGCCUCCAUGCCCUAGGUUGGGCCCCUGGGGGAUCUGAGGGCCUGUGGCCCCCAGGGCAAGUUCCCAGAUCCUAUGUCUGUCUGUCCACCUCGAGAUGGGAGGAGGAGAAAAAGCGGUACGAUGCCUUCCUGACCUCACCGGCCUCCCCAAGGGUGCCGGCACUCUGGGUGGUCUCACGGCUGCUGGGCCCCACGUCAAAGGUCAAGUGAGACGUAGGUCAAGUCCUACGUCGGGGCCCAGACAUCCUGGGGUCCUGGUCUGUCAGACAGGCUGCCCUAGAGCCCCACCCAGUCCGGGGGGACUGGGAGCAGUUCCACCAAGACCACCCCACCCCUUUUUGUAAAUCUUGUUCAUUGUAAAUCAAAUACAGCCGUCUUUUUCACUCUG
This 1920-nucleotide small RNA is filed under the name Pan troglodytes (chimpanzee). RNAcentral describes it as "retained intron". The record is from RNAcentral. Lineage: Eukaryota; Metazoa; Chordata; Mammalia; Primates; Hominidae.